CUGAGUUUGAUCCCUGGCUCAGGAUGAACGCUGGCGGCGUGCCUAACACAUGCAAGUCGAGCGAUCUCUUCGGAGAGAGCGGCGGACGGGUGAGUAACGCGUGGGUAACCUGCCCUGUACACACGGAUAACAUACCGAAAGGUAUACUAAUACGGGAUAACAUAUGAAAGUCGCAUGGCUUUUGUAUCAAAGCUCCGGCGGUACAGGAUGGACCCGCGUCUGAUUAGCUAGUUGGUAAGGUAAUGGCUUACCAAGGCAACGAUCAGUAGCCGACCUGAGAGGGUGAUCGGCCACACUGGAACUGAGACACGGUCCAGACUCCUACGGGAGGCAGCAGUGGGGAAUAUUGCACAAUGGGCGAAAGCCUGAUGCAGCAACGCCGCGUGAGCGAUGAAGGCCUUCGGGUCGUAAAGCUCUGUCCUCAAGGAAGAUAAUGACGGUACUUGAGGAGGAAGCCCCGGCUA
This 464-nucleotide ribosomal RNA is filed under the name Paraclostridium bifermentans. RNAcentral's name for it is "bacterial SSU rRNA". It matches the Rfam family "Bacterial small subunit ribosomal RNA", at positions 1 to 499 of the family's 1533-position model. Lineage: Bacteria; Bacillati; Bacillota; Clostridia; Peptostreptococcales; Peptostreptococcaceae. The record is from RNAcentral.